AAUACAAAAAUUGGCCAGGUGUGGUGUUGCACCCCUGUAAUCCCAGCUACUCAGGAGGCUGAGGUACGAGAACUGCUUGAACCUGGAAGUCGGAGGUUGCAGUGAGCCCCUUGCACCAUUGCACUCCAGCCUGGGUGACAGAGUGAGACUCUUUCAAAAAAAAAAAAAAAAAAAAAGAAAACUUUCAUCACCCUUGGUAUGCAUUCAGUUUGGGAAUAAGAGCUUGGUGUCCAUUAUUCCAGGCAUCCCAAUGGCUACACUGAAUCUCUUGGGGACUCCUUACUUUGGUAGGUAGCUGAAAAUGAGUUCAAGAGCACACAAUGUAGAUAAUGUUACCUUCAACUUCCUUCUCUGGCCUCUGCUUCUAUAGAUUGGGAAGGGGUUGUGGGGAGGAAUGUGGAAUUUGUGACCAUGGAGGGCAGGUGCGAGGCUGCUUCUGCCACUGCUUCAUGACUAACUCAGAGGGUAGUCGCUGGCCCCAUUGUUGGAGGUUCCUUUCAUUACAUUCAAAGCAGACUCCUCUUUUCUUACUUUAGUUUUGGGCUCUGGUCAGCAAUUCUCAGGUGACAUCCUAUUACACAGGAAUAGAAUGUACAUAGGAAGAUGUUUGUAAUAGUUAGGGAGUCUCUAGAUAGAUAGAGCUGCUCUGAAAAGUAAUGAGCAUCCGAUUAUUGAUUUUAGGGUAUGGUGAAGAGUAUUCCUGCUUGUGAAGAAUACAAAGGCUCUGGUCAGCAAUUCUCAGGUGACAUCCUAUUACACAGGAAUAGAAUGUACAUAGGAAGAUGUUUGUAAUAGU
RNAcentral lists this long non-coding RNA (796 nucleotides) under Homo sapiens (human). RNAcentral describes it as "non-protein coding lnc-ATP6V1B2-8:2". Lineage: Eukaryota; Metazoa; Chordata; Mammalia; Primates; Hominidae. The record is from RNAcentral.